GAUGAACGCUGGCGGCGUGCCUAAUACAUGCAAGUCGAGCGAACAGACGAGGGUCUUGCUCCACUGACGUUAGCGGCGGACGGGUGAGUAACACGUGGAUAACCUACCUAUAAUACUGGGAUAACUUCGGGAAACCGGAGCUAAUACCGGAUAAUAUAUUUAACCGCAUGGUUCCAUAGUUAAAGACGGUUUUGCUGUCACUUAUAGGUGGAUCCGCGCCGCAUUAGCUAGGUGGUAAGGUAACGGCAUACCAAGGCAACGAUGCGUAGCCGACCUGAGAGGGGGGUCGGCCACACUGGAACUGAGACACGGUCCAGACUCCUACGGGAGGCAGCAGAGGGGUAUGUUACGCAAAGGGCGGAAGGCUAGCGGAGCAACGCCGCGUGAGUGAUGAAAGUCUUCGGAUCGUAAUACUCUGUUAUUAGGGAGGAACAAAUGUGUAAGUAACGAGGCACGUCUUGACGGUACCUAAUCAGAAAGCCCCGGCUAACUACGUG
RNAcentral lists this ribosomal RNA (497 nucleotides) under uncultured bacterium. RNAcentral's name for it is "partial 16S ribosomal RNA". It matches the Rfam family "Bacterial small subunit ribosomal RNA", at positions 28 to 507 of the family's 1533-position model. The record is from RNAcentral.